GACGAACGCUGGCGGCGUGCCUAAUACAUGCAAGUCGAGCGGAAUUGGGGGAGCUUGCUCCUUCCCGUUUAGCGGCGGACGGGUGAGUAACACGUGGGCAACCUGCCCUGCAGAUCGGGAUAACUCCGGGCAACCGGUGCUAAUACCGAAUAGUUUGGCGCCUCUCCUGAGGCGCUACGGAAAGACGGUUUCGGCUGUCACUGCAGGAUGGGCCCGCGGCGCAUUAGCUAGUUGGUGGGGUAACGGCCCACCAAGGCGACGAUGCGUAGCCGACCUGAGAGGGUGACCGGCCACACUGGGACUGAGACACGGCCCAGACUCCUACGGGAGGCAGCAGUAGGGAAUCUUCCGCAAUGGACGCAAGUCUGACGGAACAACGCCGCGUGAGUGACGAAGGUUUUCGGAUCGUAAAACUCUGUUGUGAGGGAAGAACACGUACCAACUAACUAUUGGUACCUUGACGGUACCUCACCAGAAAGCCACGGCUAACUACGUGCCAGCAGCCGCCGUAA
RNAcentral lists this ribosomal RNA (512 nucleotides) under uncultured bacterium. RNAcentral describes it as "partial 16S ribosomal RNA". It matches the Rfam family "Bacterial small subunit ribosomal RNA", at positions 28 to 523 of the family's 1533-position model. The record is from RNAcentral.